Molecule: ribosomal RNA, 497 nt
Filed under: uncultured bacterium
Lineage: Bacteria
Description: partial 16S ribosomal RNA
Rfam family: Bacterial small subunit ribosomal RNA
Source: RNAcentral
GAUGAACGCUGGCGGCGUGCCUAAUACAUGCAAGUCGAGCGAACAGACGAGGAGCUUGCUCCUCUGACGUUAGCGGCGGACGGGUGAGUAACACGUGGAUAACCUACCUAUGAGACUGGGAUAACUUCGGGAAACCGGAGCUAAUACCGGAUAACAUGUUGAACCGCAUGGUUUAACAGUGAAAGACGGUCUUGCUGUCACUUAUAGAUGGAUCCGCGCCGCAUUAGCUAGUUGGUAAGGUAACGGCUUACCAAGGCAACGAUGCGUAGCCGACCUGAGAGGGUGAUCGGCCACACUGGAACUGAGACACGGUCCAGACUCCUACGGGAGGCAGCAGUAGGGAAUCUUCCGCAAUGGGCGAAAGCCUGACGGAGCAACGCCGCGUGAGUGAAGAAGGUCUUCGGAUCGUAAAACUCUGUUAUUAGGGAAGAACAAAUGUGUAAGUAACUAUGCACGUCUUGACGGUACCUAAUCAGAAAGCCACGGCUAACUACGUG